Passer montanus (Eurasian tree sparrow) is the source of this 929-nucleotide long non-coding RNA. RefSeq lists it as uncharacterized. The transcript has 2 exons. The record is from RefSeq and is a predicted model, not a curated record. Lineage: Eukaryota; Metazoa; Chordata; Aves; Passeriformes; Passeridae.
UUUGUCAAUUUGCAUUCCUGAACUUGGUACUUUCCAUUUUCUGCCUAGAAUCAUAGCAUGGUUUGGGUUGGAAGGGACCUUAAAGAUCGUAGUUUUUGCUCUCAUCCUUUUUCUCUAUCAUAAUUCCUCAGAAAUACACUUCCAUUCCAACAGAAAUAAGCUUUUACACAGUUUAUAAACGUGGUGUUUUUAAAAGUGAAAUGUUUGGAUGUGGAGGUACAGUUUAAUUCUCAUUAAUGGAACACUUCCUGCUAUUACAGAUCUUUAAGUAACUAAAACAUUUGCAAAUUACCAAUCACUGUGGGCGUUUCUAUAAAUUUCAUGGAUUUGUAGAAUUGUACAGAAUUCAUUAUGGAACAUGUGCCACCCACUUAAAUCUAAGCCCAGAUCUUCAGCAGUGUUUGGAAGUGCACUAUUUUUAAUAAAUAGAUAAAUAAGUCAUCACUCUCUUUUUCUAUCUGUUCCCCAAUUGAAGCUGAAUGUAAGUAUCUGUUUGGAUCAGAGUUCAAGCCACCCCUGUCAUUCCUGAAAUCACCCACAGAGGAAGAGGAAUUCAUGGCCUUCUGCAUCACUGGGGAGCAGUGAGCAAGGCUGAGCAUCUUCCACCCACACGGACGUGGGGCCUUCCAAUGCACGAGGAGGGGCUGUAGCAGAUUUCCCCCCUCCCUCAACAUAACCCCCCCAACGAAACAAAUCCCACAAUUCAGGUCUUAACUAGAAAGAGGACCUGGAAUGUUAGACCGAAAAAGGUGGGAAUUUCCUACACUUCUUGAGGACCAAAGCCCCACCUCUGCCUGCAGACCAGCGGACACAGCUGCACCAUCCUCCUCCUCCUCUGUGCCACUCCUGGGAGCAACGGCAGCGUGGGCACGACCUGUCAGCUUCUCCCCACCUGAGCUGAUUCUUUUUAAUAAAGGCACUAAAAAGGA